Ictidomys tridecemlineatus (thirteen-lined ground squirrel) is the source of this 1234-nucleotide non-coding RNA. NCBI's taxonomy places the organism in Eukaryota, Metazoa, Chordata, Mammalia, Rodentia, Sciuridae. The record is from RefSeq and is a predicted model, not a curated record.
AACCUGGCUCAUAAUGGAGAGUUCUGGUUGCAUUGUUCCUUGGGGUUCUGUAAUCAAGAAUUCUAUCUCUACUGGGACUCAGUAACACACCAGAACUUUUUCAAAAGGCUUAUGUCUCUGUUGCAGAUGCCCUUGCUCUGGAACCCCAGGGAUCUGUGCUAUGGUACUCCCAAGGGGCUUUGUAUAUAGAUGUCCUACCGUAUUUUUUCCUACCACUAACACCUCCAGCAACACAGGGUUUACCAGUUAAAUGACCCAAGCAGUAAGGCUGCUAGUACUGUAGCCUCUCUGCAUGGAGAUGCCUUUCCUGCUUCAGGCCCCGCUGAAGACAGAAGAGAAUGCCAAACCAAGGUCUGCAUACCGUGUACCUAAGGAGUCUCCAGUCUCCACUAUCAAGGAUAACACAUCUAGCAGUUAGCCGCAAUUGGAGUUAUUAUGUCUGCAGAGGCCAGCAGCCAUUCUCUCGGAUUCACUUGGUUUCUGCAGUAGUCACUUGGGUGAAUUAAAUGCACUAGCAUAUGGCCCACCACUCUACAUUCUUCAGAUUCUGCAGGAUAGCACUGAUUUCUGCCAUUCCUCCCACCACCACCACUACCAAAGGCAAUAUUUUUUGAUUCACCAUUUGGCCAGGGAUGGAGGAGGGUGAGGGUUUAGAGCGUGGGGAUGUAGGGAGUACAGUUUCAGGGGCUUCCCAUUUAUUUCCCCCAUUAUGGCAGCUCCCAUGUAGAAGAAUUCAAGGGUAAGUAACUUCAAUGGCUAUGUUUGUCAAUCCCAGUUACACUCAGUGACUGAGGGAAUGACCGAUUGAUGAUCUCACUGAUUUGCGGGACUUAUUGAGAGCAAGACUUUGGUCAGGAUUCUGUUUUAUUACCUGUCCCUGUAUGACUUUACUUUAGCAUAAUGCUUUGGAAUAUCAUGACUCUGUUAAUUUAGACCCAAUACCCCAAAUGUAUCUUCUUCUUUCCCCCUUUGCAUGUUUUCUCAAGUAAAUUAUCACAGGUCUCUUUUGAGGAGAAUGGGAAGAACUAACAGUGUAGUAUUGUCAUGGUAUCUCAGUGUUCUUUUCCCUGUGGACUUAUUGCCUCUUUAGUCGCCAGUUUCUGAGUCUGAAAUUGGCUUCUGUAUGACAUCUAAGCAAAGGAUGAUUUUUCUAUUGGGACAACCACCCCCAGCUUACUGCUUAUCUUGCCUACUUGUGGUUGAAUAUAUUAAACAUUACCAUCUAUUUGGUUUC